GGGAGUGGGGUUCACCUAGAAGCAGGUUGCCUAACCGCAAGGAGGGCGGCCUACCACGGUGAGCUUCAUGACUGGGGUG
Molecule: ribosomal RNA, 79 nt
Filed under: uncultured bacterium
Lineage: Bacteria
Description: partial 16S ribosomal RNA
Source: RNAcentral